GAUUGAGUCACCAUCCCCAGAGAUAUUUAAAAGAGAUGUAGAUGUGGUGCUCAGGUCAUGGCUUAGUGGUGGACUUGGAAGCGCUGGGCUAAGGAUUGGAAUGGAUGUUCUUAAUGCUCUUUUCCAAACUAAAUGAUUCUAUGACUAUUGAAUGAUCAAGAGCAUGAGAGAAUGUGCAUGUGGACAUCUGAUUUAAUAAAGAUUGGAAUACACACAUGGAACACUUCUCUUUUUUCCAGGUAGAACUGACUUAUUGCUUCCUGACUUCCACAGAAGGUAAGUACUACUGUUUCCACCUUUCAGUAACAAAAAUCAGUAGAAUUAAAGUCAGUACUCCUAAGAAGGGUGAACAUUAACUUUCCAGCUUUCCCAGGAGCUAUCAAAUCUUCUUAUGCUAUGAGCCUAAUUAAAUUACCAUGAAAAAAAUUACUUCUGUU
This 437-nucleotide long non-coding RNA is filed under the name Taeniopygia guttata (zebra finch). RNAcentral describes it as "lncRNA (ENSTGUG00000021731.1)". Lineage: Eukaryota; Metazoa; Chordata; Aves; Passeriformes; Estrildidae. The record is from RNAcentral.